This 482-nucleotide ribosomal RNA is filed under the name Acremonium sp. F9A015. RNAcentral's name for it is "partial 18S ribosomal RNA". The stretch from base 168 to 321 matches the Rfam family "5.8S ribosomal RNA". The record is from RNAcentral. Lineage: Eukaryota; Fungi; Ascomycota; Sordariomycetes; Hypocreales; Bionectriaceae.
AUCAUUACUGAGUUACAAACUCCCAAACCUUUGUGAACCUGUACCAACGUUGCUUCGGCGUGCCGUCCCGGGCGCGGCUCAGGCCGUGACCCGGACCCAGGCGGCCGCCGGGGACCAAACUCCCUGUCUUUAUAGUGGACUUCUGAGUGGCAUAAGCAAAUAAUCAAAACUUUCAGCAACGGAUCUCUUGGCUCUGGCAUCGAUGAAGAACGCAGCAAAAUGCGAUAAGUAAUGUGAAUUGCAGAAUUCAGUGAAUCAUCGAAUCUUUGAACGCACAUUGCGCCCGCCAGUACUCUGGCGGGCAUGCCUGUCCGAGCGUCAUUUCAACCCUCAGGGCCCCCCGUCUCGGGGGGCGCUGGUGUUGGGGAUCGGCCGUCCCAGCGGCGGCCGCCCCCGAAAUGUAGUGGCGGUCCCACCGUGACCUCCCCUGUGCAGUAAUCAGCUCGCAGAGGGAUAGCGGUGCGGCCACGCCGUAAAACGCC